Molecule: long non-coding RNA, 865 nt
Organism: Nicotiana tabacum (common tobacco)
Lineage: Eukaryota; Viridiplantae; Streptophyta; Magnoliopsida; Solanales; Solanaceae
Source: RefSeq, a predicted model, not a curated record
GCUUGACCUUGAUGACUACCUCGCGUUUCCAAUUUUGCCGCGCGGUGGGCGUCGCGUCGCAGCUCGCGAGGCUAGUUAAGUUUUCGGCCCUUUCCUUUUUAUAAACCACCCUCCCCCAACCAGUUUAAAACAUCAACAAACCAUACACACACCUUACAUAAAACACCCACCUAUCCCUAAACACAACACACACACAACCGCCCAAACACACAUGCUCUCCUCUCUCCGAAACCCCACUGCCCCUCCCCUCCACCUCUCACUCACAUCAAAACCCCAUUAAAUCCACUCAUUCAUACACUCAUUCAAUCACUACUGCCGUUAAUUAAAGACCAAUCCUAUUUCCCAAACAUCUAAGAGUAUCGGAAGAAAGGGUCGAAUAAAGUUGCACGAAAAGAGGACAAAAAUACAAGAAAAGAGCACAAAAAUAUAAAAUACCCAAGCCUGGCUAUAGGCCACGUGUAGCCAGCUCUGUAGCCAUAUUGGCCAUGUUAUACGCCUCGCCUCGCAAGGUCCUAGGCACGCUACAAGCCUGGCCUCGCGAGAUCAGGCGCCCGGUGGUCAAAAGUUCGUGAGAUAAAAUACUCCGACCCGGAUUUGGACUCAAGGACCUGGAUCCUAACAUAUAAAUACUCCCUAAAGGAGUUGAGAAAGGGUGAGACAUUAUUUGGAGAAGAAAAAGGCUAUAAAGCACUGUGGAGCAAGGAAUCAAAUGAGUUUUCCCUCUGUUUCUCUUUACUUUGUAGUUAACAUCAUGAUGAUUGUUUAUACAUUUAUGAGUGGCUAAACAUUCUCAUCUAGGGUUUUAUGUAACCUAUUGGAGGAUAAUUUUCUACUGCGUUUAAUAUAAAUUUGCCUUUGACUUUUC